Molecule: ribosomal RNA, 492 nt
Filed under: uncultured bacterium
Lineage: Bacteria
Description: partial 16S ribosomal RNA
Rfam family: Bacterial small subunit ribosomal RNA
Source: RNAcentral
AGUGAACGCUGGCGGUAGGCCUAACACAUGCAAGUCGAACGGCAGCACAGUAAUAGCUUGCUCUUACGGGUGGCGAGUGGCGGACGGGUGAGGAAUACAUCGGAAUCUACUUUUUCGUGGGGGAUAACGUAGGGAAACUUACGCUAAUACCGCAUACGACCUACGGGUGAAAGCAGUGGAUCUUCGGACCUUGCGCGAUUGAAUGAGCCGAUGUCGGAUUAGAUAGUUGGCGGGGUAAAGGCCCACCGAGGCGACGAUCCGUAGCUGGUCUGAGAGGAUGAUAAGCCACACUGGAACUGAGACACGGUCCAGACUCCUAAGGGAGGCAGCAGUGGGGAAUAUUGGACAAUGGGCGCAAGCCUGAUCCAGCCAUACCGCGUGGGUGAAGAAGGCCUUCGGGUUGUAAAGACCUUUUGUUGGGAAAGAAAAGCAGCAGGUUAAUACCCCGCUGUUCUGACGGUACCCAAAGAAUAAGCACCGGCUAACUUCGUG